CCCGCCUCCCUCGCCCCCCCUUCAACCCCUACACCCACCCACACUUCGCUCCGGAGCCUCUUCCACAGAGAGCUCCACGCUUUGAUUCGGGAGCUGAGUGCUCCCCAGGUUAAAAGUGCUGCAGACCUGAAUGUCCCAUAACUAUGCCCCGGGAAGCAGAAGCGGACUGGAGGGCAGUAGGAACGGCCUGGGCCACGUCAUCACAACAAGAAAGGAAAGAGGAGGCUGGACUACUUUAAAACAACAUCGGC
RNAcentral lists this long non-coding RNA (251 nucleotides) under Phascolarctos cinereus (koala). RNAcentral describes it as "lncRNA (ENSPCIG00000024168.2)". The record is from RNAcentral. Lineage: Eukaryota; Metazoa; Chordata; Mammalia; Diprotodontia; Phascolarctidae.